This 229-nucleotide unclassified non-coding RNA is filed under the name plant metagenome. RNAcentral's name for it is "partial contains small subunit ribosomal RNA, internal transcribed spacer 1, and 5.8S ribosomal RNA". The record is from RNAcentral.
UCUCCGUAGGUGAACCUGCGGAGGGAUCAUUACAGAGUUCUCGCCCUCACGGGUAGAUCUCCCACCCACUGUUAUCGUUACUGUGUUGCUUUGGCGGGCCGCCGGGCCCCGCUCGGCCGCCGGCUCCGGCUGGCGCGCGCCCGCCAGAGGCCCAACAAACUCUGGAUGUUAGUGUCGUCUGAGUACUAUAUAAUAGUUAAAACUUUCAACAAGGGAUCUCUUGGUUCUG